RNAcentral lists this ribosomal RNA (368 nucleotides) under uncultured organism. RNAcentral's name for it is "bacterial SSU rRNA". It matches the Rfam family "Bacterial small subunit ribosomal RNA", at positions 526 to 896 of the family's 1533-position model. The record is from RNAcentral.
CGAAGGAUUCGAGCGUUAUCCGGAUUUAUUGGGUUUAAAGGGAGCGCAGGUGGAUUAAUAAGUCAGUGGUGAAAGCCCGCAGCUUAACUGCGGAACUGCCAUUGAUACUGUUAGUCUUGAGUACAGUUGAGGUGGGCGGAAUGUGUCAUGUAGCGGUGAAAUGCUUAGAUAUGACACAGAACACCGAUUGCGAAGGCAGCUCACUAAGCUGUAACUGACACUGAGGCACGAAAGCGUGGGGAGCAAACAGGAUUAGAUACCCUGGUAGUCCACGCCCUAAACGAUGAUUACUCGAUGUUGGCGAUACACUGUCAGCGUCUAAGCGAAAGCAUUAAGUAAUCCACCUGGGGAGUACGACCGCAAGGUUG